AACGUUGCCCCAGGCGCUUUUCAGAUUCAACGUCAGACAGAGGGCGCUUUUUUUCUCUCAAUUGGCUUCACACAUCUCUUUCCCAAACUUUUCAAAGGCUUCAUUUAGGUGAAAACUUUUUUGUAUUUUUGUUAUUUUGGUAUUUACUUUUGAACAAAUGAAUGAACUACAUCCACCAGUUGUUUACGGAAAUCAUCUAACGAUCCCUCUCUUGGUUUAUUCACCAAUCUGCUUGGAUUAACCGUGUGUAUUCACCACAAUUCUGGGACCAGGUGCGUAUCAAAUUUUAGGUAGAGGAUGAAAAGACGAAGUUAAGGUGAACAAGACGGUACAUGUUGCUUAUAUCUCUCUUCCAUCUUCUUGUGUAGUCUACGAAUUGGUCAUUCCAAUGACAACGGCGUGCAAUUUAUAAACCCAAAGGAGACUUACUUCGGAAUAUUCUCUGAUUUCCCAAACAUUCCGGUUUAUUGUUUGAUGGAAGGGAAGACAAAAGAAUCUAAAAAAUAUGUCAGAAAAACUGGGAGAAAUUUGAGUGCAAAAAAGAAAAUCAAAGAAAACCAUUUUUAUUUGUUAUUAAGAAAGAUAUUUCAUUAAUUGCUGUAAUGACAAAAUUAUGGAAUGGUCAUUAAACUUCGUGUUUCCAAGAGGAGAUAUUUAAAGGAAAGGCAGAAAGUGCCGCGAUUUUUAUUUCUACAUUGUCUUGUACAUACUUACCUAUCCAUCGAUUUUGUUUUAUAUAACUACCAAUUAAUAAGGUAGAUAUAUAUGUAUACAGUGUUUGCUCAUGGUGGACGGUGGGUUUAUGCGAACCCACGAGGAAUAGAGAGGCGUCCUCUCGUAUUUUAUCUAAUCAAGAGAUGUUGUUUGUGAAAUAUUUCCUGGAUAAUUUACAAUAUGGAAGACUGUCACAGUUUCCAACACUGUAGGAGUUUUACAACCGGAUAAAGCAACAUCCCGCUUUAAAAAGAUGACCAGAAUGCUGCAAUUUGAUUGGAGGUUCACGAAUCGGAUUCCUCAGACUGGAAGGUUGAAGACCAAACAAUAACUCACCGAAAUGGAUGUUAGAUUGUCUUCUAAAACAAUUUAUUUACUGUUUAUAAUUCUAUUGACAUUCAAGUUUUCCUUGGAAGAUUGUACAUUCCAGUCUUCUGUUCACAUCAAAGAGACCUUGGCACCUGAUUCAAAGAUUUUUACUUUCCCAAGUGACAGCCACGUUUCAAUCCUUGAAGGACCGAAUGAGUUUUAUGUGUUGGACAAUAAACUAUUCUGUCGUCACAGGAUUCAGGUGAACUCUCAGCCGACCAAAAGAUUUAAACUAAGACUCACUUGUACUACAAAUAACAAAAUAAAAGUGAAAAAGGACUUUACCAUAACUGCUUCCUCUCCUGAUGUUGUUGAUGCCACUUCAUACACAGUCAAAAGCUUGUCAGUAGAUAUACCAGAGACAACAUCGGUCAAUUCUUCUGUCGUAAAUCUGUCUAGUUUUGUCACAGAAUCUUUUGAUAACAAUACAAGAAGUGGCUGGAAUAAUUCUACAGUUUACACCAUUAAGAUGAAUUCCUAUAACGACACCUUUGUGAUGGGGGACCCUCAGAAAGGAAUCAUUCUGUUGAAGAAGAAAUUGGAUUACGACAUCAGAAAUAUUUAUCAACUCAAUAUAUCAGCUUUGAAUGGUGAAAAUCUUGUGUUUGUUCUGCUAACCAUUGCUGUAAAAGAUGAAGACACAAAGCCACCAGUUUUCGCAUUUCUUCAUUAUUACGCUUCAGUAGAAGAAGAGGCUGUAAAUUUAAUAAACACAACCCUUACUUCAGCGCCACCUAUCCUGGCAUAUGACGGGGACAGAAGCAUUAACCAAACCAUCAACUACAGAAUGCAUAAAGGUACCAAAGCUAUGGCAUCAGAUGCCUUUGAUGUUGAUAACAGAACUGGCUCCAUCAUUCUUCGCCAAAUAUUAAACAGAGAAACUAAAGAUUCUUAUACUAUUUAUAUUGAGGCCUAUCAAACUGAUGCUCCUUACACGAAGACAGCCAUAGCUGUGGCCCACAUCACAGUUCUUGAUAUUAAUGACAACCUACCAAAGUUUGGUUCUUACUUUCAGUCUGUAGAGGUUUUAGAAAAUCUUCCAAAAGGCUUCUUCAUCUACCGAUUCCAUGCAACAGAUGCUGAUAAGGUUCCAUUCAACAUCUUCCAGUAUCAACUAAAAGACAAAUAUGAUGCAUUUCAAGUGAACGGUUCCACGGGAGAACUAACUGUGAAGAAUUCACGUAUUUUGGACCGAGAAACCCACCCAACACUGGUGAUUAGUGUGUUUGCUGUUGAAAGAAGUGGACAGAAAAGCAAAUCCUGUUACCUCACAAUCACCCUUUUGGACGUCAACGAUAACUGGCCAAUGUUUAGUCAGCAAGGAUUCCUUCUGUUUGCUACAGAACUGACGAAUGGAACUUUCAUCGGAACGGUAAAUGCUUCUGAUCGUGAUGUAGGACUCAAUGCCAUCCUUAAAUAUGGCUUAACAAACAUCGUUGAGUGGGGUAAACAACCAGCCCCCAUCGAUAUUGAGGAAAACACUGGAGUUAUUACAGCAAAUAGUUUUCUAAAACCUGCCACUUCGUACAGGUUCUUCCUCCAAGCCUGCGACUCACCCAGAGAACUUUCAAGAAGGCUCUGUAGUAAAGUUCCAGUGAUGAUUGUCACCAAAAAUACUACAAAACCAGAGAACAAUUCCAGAGUCAAAUACAUCUACAUCAAGGAGAACACUCCGAGGAACACCACUGUGGCUGACCUUAAGGAUGACUUCAAGGGUUCCAGUACUGGCAUGAUCUUCAUCCACCUGAAGACUUCUCCGGUUCCAGUUAAAAUAAUGAAAUUUGGUGAAGUUGUUGUGAAUGGUCUUCUGGAUUAUGAAGCAGUUCAACAAUAUAAAUUAACAGUUUUGGCUUGUACAGAAACGAAAACCAUCAAUAUGACUGUGUUUGUUCACAUCAAAGACAUCAACGACCAUAUUCCAACAUUUGACAAACCAGUUUAUAUUUUUGAGGUUCUCCCAAAACUUGAAAUAAACACAACUAUUGGAUACAUUAGCGCAUCUGAUAAUGACAAGGAACCUCCGAAUAAUCAGUUCUUUUAUAAAAUUCCUGCAGAAUUCAGUGUUGGGCGCCAUAUUGUGAUAGAAAAUAAAACAGGAGAAUUGAUUGUGAAGAGAAGUCUUCAGCUGGAGGCAGAAGAGGAAAAUGGUGUGGAAUUUCUGGUGAGAGUAAUUGAUGAAGGGAACCCACCUCUGUCAUCGUUAGUGAAAGUCAAGCUUGUAUUGGAAGACAAGAUCACUGGUGCCAGCUACUUUGUCUCAACGAUGCUCUUAAAAAAGCAAGUCCUGAAUAACAAAAGAUCUUUGGAAUGGGCUUUAACGAAGGCAACUGGUGUUCGUGUGACUAUUGUCAAUGUCAUUGAUGGACCGACAGACAGUCUGGGACAAAGCUUCUUCUUUGGAGGAUCAACAGUUCAAAUCACAGCAACAUUUCCUAAUGGAACCAAAUUGUCCAGACAACACUUAAAAAGUUUGGUCCUGGAACAUAAAGAUGUUUUACAGAAGAUUUUUAAAGAGAAAAGUUCCAAGAAGCUGAAAUCUUGGAAUUUCCAUGCUCCGGAAUUAUCUCUUCUCAUCUUGGCUUGUCUCUUAUUUAUCUGCUGCCUAAUCUGUGUUUCCAUCAUCUACAUGAAACAGAAAGAAGAAGUGAAAAACCGUCAUAUUGUCCACAACUGCAAGAAAAAUCGUUCGUUGUAUGAUUCUACUGACUUGACAGUCACAACGGACAUUAAUGGUCCGCAUGAAAUUUCUUCAAACUCUACCAGAAGCAACAGACCCUCAAUAAUUAACCAUACUUUUGAGUUUGACUCCGACUCAGGUCGUCAUAGUAACGAGAGCAAAACUAAUCAAACAGAUGAAACGGACACUGGAUUCCAGACUUCAACGCUAUCGGUCAGCAAGAGACGGUGUCGCCGACACAGUAAAGAUUCUUUAGAAACGGAGACCCAAAGUCGUCAUCCUGUGAAGUCUGCAAGAAUGUUGUGUCGCUGUGACGACAGUGACUCACAGACAACCCUGAACGGCAACAAAGAAAAGCAUACGUAUGAAAAUGUCGAAGACUCGUCUGAUAGCGAGUCAGAGAAAUCAUGGAGUAGAAAUAUUUAUGAUAAACCGGAUAAAAGCAUAUUAAAAGGGAAAUAUCCGGAAAGUAUCAGUGGUUUAUACGAUGCAUCAGAUGAGAAUAUGUAUGAGAUUCCGAACACGGUGUCAUCCUCGAAGGACAGUUUAUAUGAGAUGUAUGACAAACCGGAUUCCCCUCAGACAAAUAACUUUUACGACUUUGUUGAUGAUCCUUCCCUGAAGGAUUUGUUCAGAGAAAAUAUCAAUGAAUCGGAUUCUGAUUGUUCUCAUAUCUACAGCAACGUUGUGACACAUCAUUACGAACACAUCAGCUCAGACAGUGAUAUUCCCAGUGAGCCACACCCAGACUAUAUCACAACAGGCUCAGAAUUUUCAGACUUAACAGAUGAACCGUCAUAUUCACGGCACGGUUCGCUGAGCACACUAUCUUACGCUUCCACAUCAACAUCACACUACAAUUCACAAUCAGAUUUACACUCCACAAACAAAUUUUCUAAGAACAGGGACAAAACCCUUCACAAAAUUAUAGGGCUCUUGGAACUCAGCCAUUCUCCAGCUCUUUCAUCAAGGGGCCACCAAGCUUGCCCUCUUCCUCCACGAGAUUACAACACCCAAAGUAACCAGAUGUCACAUUUUAAAGCCUCCAUGACUCAAUUAUGAUAUUAACUUAAUGUUUUGAAAUUCUAGACUGCUGUAUAGUUGAUAUGAAAUAGUCAAGUGGAUGAGGUAUCAGGCUACAAACUCAUAGGUUGUGAGUUCACGUCUGACUGCAGGCAUUGUGUUGUGUCACUGAGCAAGACACUUAUUUCUACAUGGUUCCACAUAUCUUGUUGGGGAAUUGGUAUCAGGCCUUUGGGAAAGUUACCGGCAAUAGACCUGCAUCCUAUCCCAGGAGAAAUUUGUCUUGCAUCCACUGUUAUUGCUAUGAAUCCCACAUUUAAGCACCAGUUUUAUAAACCCCUUGAAGUUUAUAAAAAGAAAUUGCACUUAUUUGGGCAAGUGGGGUCUGUUCACAGUAGCAUCACUAUGAAGCAUUAUCAUUAUUCAAUGUUUAAAAUAUUAAUGAGGUGCUAUCAAAAUAUUAAUGAGGUGUCAUUAAAAUAUUAAUGAGGUGCUGUUGAAAUAUUAAAGAGGUGCCAUUAAAA
Octopus sinensis (East Asian common octopus) is the source of this 5307-nucleotide RNA transcript. It is a transcript of the gene named cadherin-23-like, with no coding region annotated. The record is from RefSeq and is a predicted model, not a curated record. The transcript is spliced from 28 exons. NCBI's taxonomy places the organism in Eukaryota, Metazoa, Mollusca, Cephalopoda, Octopoda, Octopodidae.